GAUGAAGAACGUAGCGAAAUGCGAUACUUGGUGUGAAUUGCAGAAUCCCGUGAACCAUCGGGUCUUUGAACGCAAGUUGCGCCCGAAGCCACUAGGCCGAGGGCACGCCUGCCUGGGCGUCACACGCCGUUGCCCCCCCAUCUACUCCUUCGGGAUUGCGGGGGGGCGGAUGAUGGCCUCCUGUGCGCCUAGCCGCGCGGUUGGCAUAAAUACCAAGUCCUCGGCGACGCACGCCACGACAAGCGGUGGUUGCGAAACCUCGGUUGCCCGUCGUGUGCGUUCGUCGCGCAUCGAGGGCUCGAAAAAAUGCUCGGCUCCGGCUGGGCUUUCAACGCGACCCCAGGUCAGGCGGGGUUACCCGCUGAAUUUAAGCAUAUCAAUAAGCGGAGGA
This 391-nucleotide unclassified non-coding RNA is filed under the name soil metagenome. RNAcentral's name for it is "partial contains 5.8S ribosomal RNA, internal transcribed spacer 2, and large subunit ribosomal RNA". The stretch from base 1 to 122 matches the Rfam family "5.8S ribosomal RNA", at positions 35 to 154 of the family's 154-position model. The record is from RNAcentral.